Long non-coding RNA from Homo sapiens (human), 536 nucleotides. Ensembl annotates it as long intergenic non-protein coding RNA 1177. NCBI's taxonomy places the organism in Eukaryota, Metazoa, Chordata, Mammalia, Primates, Hominidae. The record is from Ensembl.
AGACACAAUGGGGUAUUUCCGGAGCUGCUUAUACUUCAGCAUGACACAGCCUGACAGGACAAGCCGGACCAACAUGCAGGGAAAGGUGACCACAAAGCCAGGUGUGUGAAGGGAAUGAGGAAGGGGAUUGGGCAGGUGCUCACUGAAGAAAGACAUCUCCACAGGGGCCAGCCCACCAACGAACACCUUCUUCCUGAUUCCAGCUGAGCCUUGGAAGCCAGAAAAGUGUAGGGGGCAGAGGAAAACUUCCCCUUUACUCUCUGAUUGUUCACUGAAAAUCAACAGACCAAAGGCAGAUUAAGAGAAGAAAAGGGAGAAAGCCCUAAGACCUGUGAAAAUGAAGAUGUGCUGUCUGACUCCCUCAGCCUGCCCACAGAAGCAAUUCAAAGGCCUCAAAUAAUUGUCUCAAAAGAAGCAAUUUGGAGAAAGUACAUUACAGGAGGAAAGAAAAUUGCCUAAUCCUCAUUCUGCUGAGUCCUCAAUUUGCAAAAGCUCGGAAUCAAAAUAAUGAGGAAAUAAACAUGAGGGCCGUUCCA